RNAcentral lists this unclassified non-coding RNA (253 nucleotides) under uncultured Parcubacteria group bacterium. Its description in RNAcentral is "contains 16S-23S intergenic spacer region". It matches the Rfam family "Bacterial small subunit ribosomal RNA", at positions 524 to 776 of the family's 1533-position model. The record is from RNAcentral.
UACGAGUGCCCCAAGCGUUAUCCGGAAUCAUUGGGCGUAAAGGGUGUGUAGGUGGUGCGCUUAGUCUCCUGUCAAAAUCUCGGGCUCAACCCGAGACUCGCGGGGGAAACGGGCGCACUUGAGGGUGCGAGGGGUGAAUGGAACUCAUGGAGUAGGGGUGAAAUCCGUUGAUAUCAUGGGGAACACCAAAAGCGAAGGCAAUUCACUGGCGCAUUCCUGACACUGAGACACGAAAGCGUGGGUAGCGAACGGG